UGAAUACGAGACGCUAAGGCGUCGAAGUAGUGUAUAUCAGACUUCCAAGAAAAGCUUGCACUGUCAUAGAUAAAAAAUGCCUGUACCAUAACCGACACAGGUGGGUAGGUAGAGUAUACUAAGGGGCGCGAGAUAACUCUCUCUAAGGAACUCGGCAAAAUAACUCCGUAACUUCGGGAGAAGGAGUGCCUUAUUUAUAAGGUUGCAAUAACAAGAUCCAAGCAACUGUUUAUCAAAAACACAGGUCUCCGCUAAGUCGUAAGACGAUGUAUGGGGGCUGACGCCUGCCCAGUGCCAGAAGGUUAAAGAAGUUGGUUAGCAAUUGCGAAGCUGAUAACUGAAGCCCUGGUGAACGGCGGCCGUAACGAUAACGGUCCUAAGGUAGCGAAAUUCCUUGUCGGGUAAGUUCCGACCCGCACGAAAGGCGUAAUGAUUUGGAUACUGUCUCGGAGAGGGGCUCGGUGAAAUAGACUUGUCUGUGAAGAUGCGGACUACCUGCACCAGGACAGAAAGACCCUAUGAAGCUUUACUGUAACUUGAAAUUGAAAUUGGACUUUAUUCGCGCAGCAUAGGUGGGAGGCGUUGAUUAUAAUCUUGCGGGAUUAUUGGAGCCAUCAGUGAGAUACCACUCUUGUAAUGUUAGAUUUCUAACUUUGAAUCAUUAUCUGGUCAAAGAACAGUUUCAGGCGGGCAGUUUGACUGGGGCGGUCGCCUCCUAAAUGGUAACGGAGGCGUACAAAGGUUUCCUCUGAACGGUUAGAAAUCGUAUCUAGAGUGUAAAGGCAUAAGGAAGCUUGACUGUGAGACCUACAAGUCGAGCAGGGACGAAAGUCGGUCUUAGUGAUCUGACGGUACUGAGUGGAAAGGCCGUCACUCAACGGAUAAAAGUUACUCUAAGGAUAACAGGCUGAUCUCCCCCAAGAGUUCACAUCGACGGGGAGGUUUGGCACCUCGAUGUCGGCUCAUCGCAUCCUGGGGCGGUAGUACGUCCCAAGGGCUGGGCUGUUCGCCCAUGAAAGCGGUACGCGAGCUGGGUUCAGAACGUCGUGAGACAGUUCGGUCCAUAUCCGGUGUAGGCGUUAGAAUAUUGAGAGGAGCCUUCUUUAGUACGAGAGGACCGAGAAGGACAUACCUCUGGUGUACCAGUUAUCGUGCCAACGGUAAACGCUGGGUAGCUAUGUAUGGAGUGGAUAACCGCUGAAAGCAUCUAAG
Molecule: ribosomal RNA, 1212 nt
Filed under: metagenome
Description: bacterial LSU rRNA
Rfam family: Bacterial large subunit ribosomal RNA
Source: RNAcentral